CAAGCAAGCUGGACAGCCGCGGGGACAGGCCGAAAGGCCGUCCGUGAGGAAAGUCCGGGCUCCAUAGGGCAAGGAUAACGGGUAACGCCCGCCGAAGGCGACUUCAGGACAAGUGCAACAGAGAGAUACCGCCCGACUUGGAUCGGGUAAGGGUGGAAAGGUGAGGUAAGAGCUCACCCGCCGGCGCGGAAGUGUCCGGUGCUGUAAACUCUAUCCGGAGCAACACCGUGGAGGGGAAGAGGACCGGCCCGGUCUCCCCGGGGAGGUGGCUGGAGCGUACCGGCAACGGUACGCCUAGAUAGAUGGCUGUCGAAUACAGAACCCGGCUUACAGGCUUACUUGCGGC
RNAcentral lists this RNase P RNA (346 nucleotides) under Candidatus Evtepia faecigallinarum. RNAcentral's name for it is "RNase P RNA component class A". It matches the Rfam family "Bacterial RNase P class A". From Rfam's summary of the family: Ribonuclease P (RNase P) is a ubiquitous endoribonuclease, found in archaea, bacteria and eukarya as well as chloroplasts and mitochondria. Its best characterised activity is the generation of mature 5'-ends of tRNAs by cleaving the 5'-leader elements of precursor-tRNAs. Cellular RNase Ps are ribonucleoproteins. The record is from RNAcentral. Lineage: Bacteria; Bacillati; Bacillota; Clostridia; Eubacteriales.